AAAACCUGGUACUGGGAGACUAUCAGUGAUCUGCCAUUGAUGAAGCAUUUCAGUUGUUGCCUACUGAUCCAAGGGCUCUGAUACCAAUUGUUACGUAGCAAAGUUCCCAAAAUCCCAAACCUGCAGAAUAACAAAGGAAGAAUAUCGAGGAAGGAGAGAGGGAGCGGGAGAGAAAGAAGUAGAAAGAAAGAGAGAUAGAAAGAGAAAUGUUUUUUAUUAUUC
Molecule: unclassified non-coding RNA, 222 nt
Filed under: Hevea brasiliensis (rubber tree)
Lineage: Eukaryota; Viridiplantae; Streptophyta; Magnoliopsida; Malpighiales; Euphorbiaceae
Source: RNAcentral